RNAcentral lists this ribosomal RNA (467 nucleotides) under uncultured bacterium. RNAcentral describes it as "partial 16S ribosomal RNA". It matches the Rfam family "Bacterial small subunit ribosomal RNA", at positions 28 to 507 of the family's 1533-position model. The record is from RNAcentral.
GACGAACGCUGGCGGCGUGCUUAACACAUGCAAGUCGAACGAUGACGACCGAGCUUGCUCGGUCUGAUUAGUGGCGAACGGGUGAGUAACACGUGAGCAACCUGCCCUUCACUCUGGGAUAACCUCGGGAAAUCGGGGCUAAUACCGGAUAUGAGCUCCUGUCGCAUGGCGGGUGUUGGAAAGUUUUUCGGUGAAGGAUGGGCUCGCAGCCUAUCAGUUUGUUGGUGAGGUAGUGGCUCACCAAGGCGAUGACGGGUAGCCGGCCUGAGAGGGCGACCGGCCACACUGGGACUGAGACACGGCCCAGACUCCUACGGGAGGCAGCAGUGGGGAAUAUUGCACAAUGGGCGAAAGCCUGAUGCAGCGACGCCGCGUGAGGGAUGACGGCCUUCGGGUUGUAAACCUCUUUCAGCAGGGAAGAAGCGAAAGUGACGGUACCUGCAGAAGAAGCGCCGGCUAACUACGUG